This 1873-nucleotide ribosomal RNA is filed under the name Myroides odoratimimus. RNAcentral's name for it is "partial 23S ribosomal RNA". It matches the Rfam family "Bacterial large subunit ribosomal RNA", at positions 1 to 1894 of the family's 2925-position model. Lineage: Bacteria; Pseudomonadati; Bacteroidota; Flavobacteriia; Flavobacteriales; Flavobacteriaceae. The record is from RNAcentral.
AUAAGCAAAAUAAGGGCGUAUGGGGAAUGCCUAGGCUCUCAGAGGCGAAGAAGGACGUGAUAAGCUGCGAAAAGCUACGGGGAUUGGCACACACGAAUUGAUCCGUAGAUAUCCGAAUGGGGCAACCCAGUAUGUUGAAGACAUACUAUCCAAUAUGGAGGCGAACCCGCUGAACUGAAACAUCUAAGUAGGCGGAGGAGAAGAAAACAAAAGUGAUUCCGUAAGUAGUGGCGAGCGAACGCGGAAUAGCCCAAACCAAAGUUGUUACGGCAAUUUUGGGGUUGUAGGACCACGAGAUUUCUUGCGGAUUUAAUUAGAAUUACCUGGAAAGGUAAACCAAAGAGGGUGAUAGUCCCGUAUAAGUAAGAGAAGAUAAGAAUAGUGGUAUCCUGAGUAGGUCGGGGCACGUGAAACCUUGAUUGAAACUGGCGGGACCAUCCGCUAAGGCUAAAUACUCCUGAGAGACCGAUAGUGAACCAGUACCGUGAGGGAAAGGUGAAAAGAACCGUGAAUAACGGAGUGAAACAGAUCCUGAAACCAUACGCCUACAAGCGGUCGGAGCCCCUUUGUGGGGUGACGGCGUGCCUUUUGCAUAAUGAGCCUACGAGUUACCGUUGCUGGCAAGGAUAAGUGAUUAAGUCAUGGAUCCGUAGCGAAAGCGAGUCUUAAUAGGGCGCUUUAGUCAGUAGUGGUAGACGCGAAACCGUGUGAUCUACCCAUGGGCAGGUUGAAGUUUAGGUAACACUAAAUGGAGGACCGAACCGUUUAACGCUGAAAAGUUUUCGGAUGACCUGUGGGUAGGGGUGAAAGGCCAAUCAAACUCGGAAAUAGCUCGUACUCCCCGAAAUGCAUUUAGGUGCAGCGAUGAUCGAUAGUUACUUAGAGGUAGAGCUACUGAUUGGAUGCGGGGGCUUCACCGCCUACCAAUUCCUGACAAACUCCGAAUGCUAAGUAAUGAUAAUCAUCAGUGAGGGCAUGGGUGCUAAGGUCCAUGUCCGAGAGGGAAAGAACCCAGACCAUCAGCUAAGGUCCCCAAAUGUAUGCUAAGUUGAAAAAACGCGGUUUGAUUGCCCAGACAGCUAGGAUGUUGGCUUGGAAGCAGCCAUUCAUUUAAAGAGUGCGUAACAGCUCACUAGUCGAGCGAUCGAGCAUGGAUAAUAAUCGGGCAUAAGUAUACUACCGAAGCUAUGGAUUUGCGCAUUUAGUUGCGUGAGUGGUAGGGGAGCAUUCUAACGGCGCAGAAGGUGAUUUGUGAGAAUUGCUGGAGCUUUUAGAAAAGAAAAUGUAGGCAUAAGUAACGAUAAGGGGUGCGAGAAACACCCCCGCCGUAAGACUAAGGUUUCCUCAGCUAUGCUAAUCAGCUGAGGGUUAGUCGGGACCUAAGGCACACCCGAAGGGGGACGUCGAUGGCCAACGGGUUAAUAUUCCCGUACUACUGAUAAUUGUGAUGGAGUGACACAGUGAUGAAAGCACCGCGAACUGACGGAAUAGUUCGUUGAAGCACGUACCUAUAGGUUUGAUAGUAAAAUGCGUCAGACUUGGAGAAAUGCGAUAGUACUUUGAGUCUUCGGACAACGAGAUAGUGUGCCUAAGGGCUGUCAAGAAAAGCUUCUAAACUUAGAUUAUUAGUACCCGUACCGUAAACCGACACAGGUAGUCGAGGAGAGUAUCCUAAGGCGCUCGAGAGAUUCAUGGCUAAGGAACUAGGCAAAAUAGACCUGUAACUUCGGGAGAAAGGUCGCCAGCGCAAGCUGGCCGCAGUGAAAAGGUCCAGGCGACUGUUUAUCAAAAACACAGGGCUCUGCAAAAUCGUAAGAUGACGUAUAGGGCCUGACACCUGCCCGGUGCUGGAAGGUUAAGAGGAGAUGUUAUC